GGAUGUACUUCCUGAGACAACUGGGGAAGUACAGUCUUCCACAGGAGCUGCUGAUCCAGUUCUACACUGCGGUCAUUGAGUCUGUCCUGUGCUCCUCCAUCACAGUCUGGUAUGGAGCAGCCACUAAACAGGACAGGAGCAGACUGCAGCGGACUCGCCCCCCUGCCCUCCAUCCAGGAUCUGUACCUCUCAAGAACCAGGAAACGGGCAGGGAAAAUCAUCACAGACCCCUCACACCCUGCACACAGACUUUUUGAUCUGCUGCCCUCUGGCAGACGGUACAGAAGCCUGCAGACCAGGACCACCCGACACAGGAACAGUUUCUUUCCCCUCGCCAUCUCCCUUCUUAACAGUUGACCUGUCACACUGCUCCCACUGCCAGACUGCAACUGCACCUUAUGUACAUUUUGUAGUAUUCAUUCCACCUCAUUCAUUUCUGUAUUUUAUGUAUAUAAGUUUAGAUUCGUUAUUUAUAGUUGGUUUACAUAGCUUUGUGUAUGUAUGUGUAAUGUGUAUAUAUAGACACUUGUGUGUGUGUGUGUGUGUGUAACCAAAUUCCCUGUAUGUGUCUGCACAUAUACUUGGCCAAUAAACACGAUUCUG
Long non-coding RNA from Astatotilapia calliptera (eastern happy), 603 nucleotides. NCBI's taxonomy places the organism in Eukaryota, Metazoa, Chordata, Actinopteri, Cichliformes, Cichlidae. The record is from Ensembl.